CGAAACCAAAGGAAAUAACAAAGAAGGAAAUAGCAAAGGAAAAAGCAAAGCAAAGCAAAGCAAAUAAGUGGACCACAGCAGAAGCACAACAAAUGAAAUGAAAUAAGUGGACCACGGCACGUUGACUGUCCUUCCCCAGCUUGUUCCUUUACAUAAAGCAACUGAAAACACGUGAUUCAAAAGCAAAGCAAUACCAAACGGUGCGUUUCAUUUUUCGGGGCGCAGAUUGGGGGAGCAAAUUCGGGGUAAAUAACUUUUUCCUUGGACUAUUAACCGUUCGAUGAAUUCGUACAUCAAUGCAAACAUUAGGAACAAACUUUUGUUAUUAAGAUUCAAGAGUUGAACACAAGAGAUUAUACAAAAAGGCACAAGAAACACACGUGGGUACCAAUGCAAAGAUUAACAAAUAAACAAUGCUCUUUUUGAAAUUCUUUAAUAUUACAGGGGAAGAGAAAUUUGUUCAGGAAACUCUAAGAGGAGGGCUUCAUCUCCGACUUAAUGGCUGCAACCAAUUGGUCGUAAGCUUCUGACCAGGCACUCUUCAUUUCUGGCGACCACAUCUCUGGUACUGCCUCUUUUAUGGUUUCCAGUAGUGAAAAUUUUGUGACCUCAAAAUGCUCAUUAACAACACCAUAUUUGAAGUGGACAGCUCCUAAUUUUUUUAGAGUUGAUUCUCUUACUGUCACUUUGCCUGCUUUCCUCAGUUGCACUGCUGAUUCACACGUCUGUAACACAACCAACACAACAAAAAAAAGAAGAAGAAAAAAUUGAGGCAAAGCAUUGAAAAAGGUAAGUGUUGAAUGUUGAUGAGCUUAUAGCUGCUAGAUUAUGUUAUCAAGAGCGGAAUUAUGUUAGGGUCUAUGUAACAGUAGUCCCCAUGUUAAGAAAAAGAAGAGAUAAUAUAAGAGUCCUAAUUGAAAUUUAGCUCAAUUAUUUAGAUAAGGCUUUUAAUUAUAAUUUCCCCGUAAUGAUCCUCUUCAGAUAGAAAUCCUGGCUUCGCCGUUGGAUUGGAUGUUAUGAAAACAACAAUAUUAGCAUUAAAUGCUACAAGAUUAAUUUGGAUUAGGUGAUGGUAAACGGGCAGUAAGGAUUAGUAGCAUAUAGGCUUAAUUCAUUACCAUAACAAAAACAGACAUGGCAUGGGUCUUGAGCUUCUGGUUCUGCUCUAGAGGCACAUUUGAGUCUCUCAAGAAUGAGAACAGCUUUUGGGCUGAUGGUGCAAUCUCAAAGAUCCUACAUAUAUACAAGAAAAACCCAGAAACUUUCAGUUGUUAGUACAAUGAUUAUAACAAGAAAGAUUUUGGAUAAAAAAAAAAAAAAGAUUAGCUUACCUCAAGAAGAAUUUAAGACCCAAUUCUCCAGCAUUCUUCUUCAUUACAUUCCAUGACUUGACAACUAAAGCUUCUUGCUCUUCAGUAAAGGCUCUACCUUCGUUAAUGUUGGCCAUUGAUUUCUAUUUGGACACCUGAGGAUUGAAUGUGAUACACAAAAUGUUGUUGAAUGUUGAUCUGUGGCGAUACUGCAUACAAUUUAUACAUUAAAAAUGAACUCUUCAUGGCAUUGAACAGCCAUUUUUGAUGGUCUAAUAUUCAAAAACAGGGGGCUAUAAGAUCUGUUCUUUGACGAAGCGAACAUGGUUUUGGCAACUUGAGGUUGGCAUGAUGUAUGCAUUGAUAAGCAUGACUGCUUGACCAUUAUUGCAUCAGAUUUUCAUUGCACGUAACUUGACCUUUGACCAACAACAUAAUUUGACCUCUGACCAUUAUUUUAUGUUUCAUUCAUCUAGAACUUUCUAUCAAUAUAAUUGUGCCACCAUUAGUCAUCGUUGCCGAUGUUGAUUUUAUAAGAAAUGAGAAGUGAUUACUCCUGAUUGGAAAUUUCUAUCCAAGUUUCAAAGUUCUAGAAAAUUUGGGUAAUUUUUUAUUUGUACAUUGUCUGUUGGACGUUAGCCUGCAGAACUGUUUGCUUGCGCGUUCAAAGUGGAUCUUUGCAAUAAAUUAACUCAACAAUACUUUUGCCCUUUUAAUUUAUGUGACCAAUAUUUUGAGGUUAGUUCCAAAUUAUUUGUGAUAGCUAACUAAUGAAAGAGUUUUGCCACAUCUUUGAAUGGGCCUUCGACAUGCAAUUUACAGAGUUGAAUUAACAAGAUCAUACGUAAAAGUCAAUAACUUUUUUUUUUUUUUACCAAUCCAAAGAAUAAUGUGGAAAAACCAAGAUUAGUACUGCAGCAAAAGAAGAGAGAUAAUUACUGAUAAGAAAAUUCAUAAAUGAUCAUUAGAUUGCUCUGUUUGGAGAGAACUGGAUCUUAGAUUAGAUCAACACAAUAUUCGAUAAUUGAUGAUUACAUGACAUUUUUACAAUAUUAUUUUUUCCAUGAAACAGCAUCACUUUUACAUUCAAUUAGCAAAUUAUGAAGGAGGCUUCAUUUCAGUUUUGAUGGCGGCAGCAAGUUGAUCAUAAGCCUCCGCCCAAGAAUUCUUCAUCUCUGGUGACCACAUUUCAGGUACUGCUUCCUUUAUGGUCUCCAGCAAUGCAUACUUUGUCACCUAUUAACGCAUACAAAAUAUGUCACGCACUCUUAAAUCGGCAUACAUACUCUCUUCUAAAAUCACAGCCUAUCAAGUAAUGAAGUAAACCUACGAAAGAAGAACC
This 2652-nucleotide long non-coding RNA is filed under the name Citrus sinensis (sweet orange). RNAcentral describes it as "long non-coding RNA (CSIN_LNC002341)". The record is from RNAcentral. Lineage: Eukaryota; Viridiplantae; Streptophyta; Magnoliopsida; Sapindales; Rutaceae.